UGAAAGCACAACAAUCUCCACAACAAUCCCCUAGUCUAAACCGUGGUAAAACCUCUGAGAUACUAUUUCAGCUAAUAUGUCUCUGUCUAUUUUUUAUACUGUUCGUGUCUAUUUGCCUGUUGAUAAACGUUGCUUGCUUUAAUUCUUCAAAUACAGUAUCUCCCUACAGAUCUAGAGAAUAUGAACCAGCUUUGCCAAAGGUGCAACCUGGGUGUCAGAUGAAAACCCAAAAGAAAACCGGACAAAUGAAAUUCACAGUUCGAAGACACUUUCCCAAGUAGAGGAAUGGCUUAACGAUAAGAUUCUUCGGAAAGAUAUGUUUUAUCUUCGCAAAAUAAGUUGGAGGAAAGUAGGGGUAACAAAUAACGUGAAA
Molecule: long non-coding RNA, 373 nt
Organism: Mytilus californianus (California mussel)
Lineage: Eukaryota; Metazoa; Mollusca; Bivalvia; Mytilida; Mytilidae
Exons: 3
Source: RefSeq, a predicted model, not a curated record